AGAAAGAUAAGCUAAUAGUAAGCUAUUAGGUUCAUACCCUAAGAAUAGAAAGUAAAUUUCUUCUUUCUA
RNAcentral lists this transfer RNA (69 nucleotides) under Aconurella diplachnis. RNAcentral's name for it is "tRNA-Met". It matches the Rfam family "tRNA". Rfam says of the family: Transfer RNA (tRNA) molecules are approximately 80 nucleotides in length. Their secondary structure includes four short double-helical elements and three loops (D, anti-codon, and T loops). Lineage: Eukaryota; Metazoa; Arthropoda; Insecta; Hemiptera; Cicadellidae. The record is from RNAcentral.